Molecule: ribosomal RNA, 468 nt
Filed under: uncultured bacterium
Lineage: Bacteria
Description: partial 16S ribosomal RNA
Rfam family: Bacterial small subunit ribosomal RNA
Source: RNAcentral
GAUGAACGCUGGCGGCGUGCUUAACACAUGCAAGUCGAACGGUGGAGGCGGAGCUUGCUCUGCUGGAUCAGUGGCGAACGGGUGAGUAACACGUGAGCAAUCUGCCCCUGACUCUGGGAUAAGCGCUGGAAACGGCGUCUAAUACUGGAUACGAGCUGCGAAGGCAUCUUCAGCAGCUGGAAAGAACUUCGGUCAGGGAUGAGCUCGCGGCCUAUCAGCUUGUUGGUGAGGUAACGGCUCACCAAGGCGUCGACGGGUAGCCGGCCUGAGAGGGUGACCGGCCACACUGGGACUGAGACACGGCCCAGACUCCUACGGGAGGCAGCAGUGGGGAAUAUUGCACAAUGGGCGAAAGCCUGAUGCAGCAACGCCGCGUGAGGGACGACGGCCUUCGGGUUGUAAACCUCUUUUAGCAGGGAAGAAGCGAAAGUGACGGUACCUGCAGAAAAAGCGCCGGCUAACUACGUG